ACUCAAAGGAAUUGACGGGGACCCGCACAAGCGGUGGAUGAUGUGGAUUAAUUCGAUGCAACGCGAAAAACCUUACCUACGCUUGACAUGCCAGGAACUUUCCAGAGAUGGAUUGGUGCCCGAAAGGGAACCUGGACACAGGUGCUGCAUGGCUGUCGUCAGCUCGUGUCGUGAGAUGUUGGGUUAAGUCCCGCAACGAGCGCAACCCUUAUCCUUAGUUGCUACGCAAGGGCACUCUAGGGAGACUGCCGGUGACAAACCGGAGGAAGGUGGGGAUGACGUCAAGUCCUCAUGGCCCUUAUGUGUAGGGCUUCACACGUCAUACAAUGGUCGGUACAGAGGGUCGCCAACCCGCGAGGGGGAGCCAAUCCCAGAAAACCGAUCGUAGUCCGGAUUGCACUCUGCAACUCGAGUGCAUGAAGUCGGAAUCGCUAGUAAUCGCGGAUCAGCAUGUCGCGGUGAAUACGUUCCCGGGUCUUGUACACACCGCCCGU
This 494-nucleotide ribosomal RNA is filed under the name uncultured bacterium. RNAcentral describes it as "bacterial SSU rRNA". It matches the Rfam family "Bacterial small subunit ribosomal RNA", at positions 899 to 1397 of the family's 1533-position model. The record is from RNAcentral.